RNAcentral lists this ribosomal RNA (253 nucleotides) under uncultured bacterium. RNAcentral describes it as "partial 16S ribosomal RNA". It matches the Rfam family "Bacterial small subunit ribosomal RNA", at positions 524 to 776 of the family's 1533-position model. The record is from RNAcentral.
UACGUAGGCAGCAAGCGUUGUUCGGAGUUACUGGGCGUAAAGGGUGUGUAGGCGGUUGUUUAAGUUUGGUGUGAAAUCUCCCGGCUCAACUGGGAGGGUGCGCCGAAUACUGAAUGACUCGAGUGCGGGAGAGGAGAGUGGAAUUCCUGGUGUAGCGGUGAAAUGCGUAGAUAUCUGGAGGAACACCGGUGGCGAAGGCGGCAUCCUGGACCGGUAUUGACGCUGAGGCGCGAAAGCCAGGGGAGCAAACGGG